Molecule: ribosomal RNA, 241 nt
Filed under: uncultured bacterium
Lineage: Bacteria
Description: partial 16S ribosomal RNA
Rfam family: Bacterial small subunit ribosomal RNA
Source: RNAcentral
CGUAAGCAACCUGCCUAUCAGAGGGGAAUAACAGUGAGAAAUCAUUGCUAAUACCGCAUAAGCUAGUAGUAUCGCAUGAUAUAGCUAGAAAAGGAGCAAUCCGCUGAUAGAUGGGCUUGCGUCUGAUUAGCUAGUUGGUGGGGUAACGGCCUACCAAGGCGACGAUCAGUAGCCGGACUGAGAGGUUGAACCGGCCACAUUGGGACUGAGAUACGGCCCAGACUCCUACGGAAGGCAGCAG